Long non-coding RNA from Papio anubis (olive baboon), 1698 nucleotides. Lineage: Eukaryota; Metazoa; Chordata; Mammalia; Primates; Cercopithecidae. The record is from Ensembl.
CCAAUAUCUAAACAUUGCAUUUAUUCAUUUCAAAGUCCUUAAGGAAUUAAAUUGAUAAACCUCCCUGAAUUGACCAGACUGUUUGGUCUCCUGAAGACUAUAGAGGCUUUAAGAAAUAUGUGAUUAGUUAGUUUUCCAAAAUUUCAAAGGAAAUGUUUAAAGAAAUUGACAACUGUAGCUGAGAUCAUUGUUCUCUAAGCUUCUCCAAGCUUCAUAGAAUUCUAAUAAAUAUUGAAUAAGUAUUCAGACCUAAGGAAGAUUCAGGGUCAAUUGCAUAGGAGGCAGAAAAUGAACUAUCAAUUAUUAUUGAAAAUUAUCUGUAGACACAAGUGAACUUUCUAAAACUUAAAUUUAAAAUUUAACCCAUCCCAUAUAGUUUUCCUUUAAAAUCCUGUACGUGAAAUAGCACUUCAUCAACAGAGUUUCUAACAAGGUGAUAAUUUCUUAACUCUAGAUUAUAAUCUGGAAUUAUUCUCCAGUAAGAAAUUGAACAGUGGAGGAAAGGAAUAAAAAGAAAAGAGAAAUUUAUGUUCUUCUCCAAGCUAUAUUAGCAAUCGGAUCAGAGAUAAGACCAUGCUUCUCUUCGAACUCUAAAUAUUAGGUACAUUUCUUCAUCAUACCCAUGCAUUUAUUCAAUAAUUCUUGAGCAGCUACUGCAAGCAAAGCUGUAUAAGGGAUAGACUGCUGAAAAGGAUCCUCAAGAAUUUUGUAAACUAGAAUUUAGAAGAAAACAUAUCAAAUAGAUAUCUGCAACAUUUGUCAAAUUUAAUUCCUCUAGGAGAAAUACAAAGCAUUGUGGAAAUUAGGGUUAGGGUGGAAAGUCAAGAUCAGCUUCAUGAACUGAAUCUUAAAGAAUUGUAUUAUUUCCUCACCCAGAGAUGUGUGAAGAUAGAAGAAACUGGUCAAACAAAAAUAUGGAAGCAGGGAAGUAGGAAAAUCAAUAUCUGUUGGAGAAUCUGAAGAGCCAAAUCUCCUGAGCCUGGGCCUACUGCUGUCAGCGUCUCUGAGACCUCUCUUACCUGAGAAUUACCAGGUCUCACAACACUUUCCGUCCAGCCUACAGUGAGGGAUGUCAACAAAGCUACAGAAAACUCACAUUUUCUAGACUUACAAGCUGUGCAGCUGGGCAGGAACCUUAUAAUCUCCAUCCUUAGGGAAGGUUCAGAAAUAUAGACAAACGGGAGGAAAACUCAGAUAUGCUGAGCCUGAUAUAUACAAAAGCCUUCAGAUAGUCUCCUCAAGGAAGAGCCCAAUUAGGUCCACAUAAUUAGUCCACACAUCUAGAUUAGGUAUAGGCAAAACGAGCCCUUUAUCCAUCUACCAAAACAGAGCAAAAGACUGACAUAAUACUAUAAAAGAUUCUUGUUCUAAUAACAGUAUUAUAAAGCAGUUUCAGCCAUAUUUAUUUUAAUCAGUAUAAAAGUAGGAGUGUGGAAAAUAAAGCAUUACUUAUAUUUUUGAAAAUUGAUUAAGAAGCUCUGAUAAAACCUAUUGGAGGGGUGAUUGCUGUGCUGAAGGAUAGAGAGGGUGUCUCAAUUGUCAAAUCAUAGCAUCACCAUUUUCUGCUUGUGUGCUAUUACCUUAGCUCUGAGAGUGAUUUGUUUUUACCGGAUUGUUAGAACACGUCCAAUAGAUUUAGAGACAGUCUAAGUGACUGUGAAAUGCCUCAAGGGCAAUAGAAAUCAAAGAGAAACACAU